CCUACGUGGCAGCAGUGGGGAAUAUUGGACAAUGGGCGAAAGCCUGAUCCAGCCAUGCCGCGUGUGUGAAGAAGGCCUUCGGGUUGUAAAGCACUUUCAGUGGGGAAGAAAGCCUUGGGGCUAAUACCCUCGAGGAAGGACAUCACCCACAGAAGAAGCACCGGCUAACUCCGUGCCAGCAGCCGCGGUAAUACGGAGGGUGCGAGCGUUAAUCGGAAUUACUGGGCGUAAAGCGCGCGUAGGCGGUCUGAUAAGCCGGUUGUGAAAGCCCCGGGCUCAACCUGGGAACGGCAUCCGGAACUGUCAGGCUAGAGUGCAGGAGAGGAAGGUAGAAUUCCCGGUGUAGCGGUGAAAUGCGUAGAGAUCGGGAGGAAUACCAGUGGCGAAGGCGGCCUUCUGGACUGACACUGACGCUGAGGUGCGAAAGCGUGGGUAGCAAACAGGAUUAGAUACCCGAGUAGUC
RNAcentral lists this ribosomal RNA (463 nucleotides) under Vreelandella stevensii. RNAcentral's name for it is "partial 16S ribosomal RNA". It matches the Rfam family "Bacterial small subunit ribosomal RNA", at positions 338 to 795 of the family's 1533-position model. The record is from RNAcentral. Lineage: Bacteria; Pseudomonadati; Pseudomonadota; Gammaproteobacteria; Oceanospirillales; Halomonadaceae.